CCUACGGGAGGCAGCAGUGGGGAAUAUUGCACAAUGGGGGAAACCCUGAUGCAGCGACGCCGCGUGAGUGAAGAAGUAUUUCGGUAUGUAAAGCUCUAUCAGCAGGGAAGAAAAUGACGGUACCUGAUUAAGAAGCCCCGGCUAACUACGUGCCAGCAGCCGCGGUAAUAAGUAGGGGGCAAGCGUUAUCCGGAUUUACUGGGGGUAAAGGGAGCGUAGACGGCAGCACAAGUCUGGAGGGAAAUGCCGUGGCUUAACCCCGGAACUGCUUUGGAAACUGUGCAGCUAGAGUGCAGGAGAGGUAAGUGGAAUUCCUAGUGUAGCGGUGAAAUGCGUAGAUAUUAGGAGGAACACCAGUGGCGAAGGCGGCUUACUGGACUGUAACUGACGUUGAGGCUCGAAAGCGUGGGGAGCAAACAGGAUUAGAUACCCCUGUAGUC
This 440-nucleotide ribosomal RNA is filed under the name uncultured bacterium. RNAcentral describes it as "partial 16S ribosomal RNA". It matches the Rfam family "Bacterial small subunit ribosomal RNA", at positions 338 to 795 of the family's 1533-position model. The record is from RNAcentral.